Molecule: long non-coding RNA, 1975 nt
Filed under: Gossypium barbadense (sea-island cotton)
Lineage: Eukaryota; Viridiplantae; Streptophyta; Magnoliopsida; Malvales; Malvaceae
Description: long non-coding RNA (GBAR_LNC005423)
Source: RNAcentral
UUUUUCUUUCCACAGUUUAACCAAACAAUAGAUGUAACAAUUCUUUUCCUAUACUUUCCUUCAUAAAUUUGAACUAUACAAACAAUUAGUUAUUAUAUUCUUUUCUUUCUUUAAUCUUUCCUUACUUUCUUUUAAUUUUAUUUAUCUAAAUAUAGGUCAAAUUAAUCUAUAUAAGUAACUCAUGUUAAAACAUGUCUACCAAAUAUAACAAAAAGUAUGUACAAAUAACGACUGCAAAUUACAUACAAGUACAACCCAAUAUAGUCAAUGUUCGCUGUAACAUCCUUCCAUCGUUUGAUUUGAGCACAAUUUGUUGGUGUAAGCAGUGACCAGGUAAUGCGUCAUUUACUGCGGAAACUCAAAAUACAAAUAGAGUGAAAUCCGCGCCCUAACUUCAUUGAUUGAUGCAAGGAGACAAACAUCGAUACGUGCACUAAAACAUAAGAAGAAAAGAAGUUUCAUUUUCAUCUUUUUAGUCAUAAAAUUCAACUAAAAUUCACCUACCCCACCGCGCAAUCUACUUAGAAAUUGUAGUAAUAAUAAAGUAUUCAGUACUCCAGUCAUCAAAGACAGGUGUUUGUGUACAAUUUUCUAUGGACAAUCACUGCCCACUCAUCUCCCCGAAAAUGGAUGUUGUUUAUUCUUUGACGUUCAAGUCGAACUUGGAAGUCUAUCGUCAAUUCAAAAUUUUAAUCCUCACCACCACCAUUAUUAGGUGAAUUUAAUUGCCACCACAAUUGUCAUUGAGUUUCAAAUUUUCGUUUUUAUAUAUUGGCCUCCGCUUGGAUUAUAUAGGAAUCGGUAAAAAAACAUUUUAACCAACUGUAUCUGAUUAUUGCUCUGGAUUAUACGUGACACAUAUCGUACUAAGGUUGAUUGAUUUUCAAUUUGGAGUCGAUGCCAACACAGCAAGUAGCACUCGAGGAAGAUAUGCAAGAAUGUGAUUAAGCAGAUCUGGAUAGACCUCUUUUAUAUUAUAUAAAAAUUAUAAAGUUCAAACAACCCUUCAUGUACGAGACAAUUGUUGGCUUUUGUUUUAAUUGUUGUUGCAUAGGACGCAACUCCCUCAAGUGCGGAAGUUAACGGUAAGCUCCUUAGAGUGCUGCCAUAGUGGGAUGAAACUUGAAAGAGUUAAUUUGUUUCAUCAAAAAUUAUUUUCAAUUAUUAUGCACAAUUAGACUCUUAAAAUGGGUAAUACAACCUAUUCAACUGUUAAUCCUAAAUCAAAAUACCAAUUAAAAGCAUAGAUGCUUAUGUCACAUGUUUGGAAUUUAAGUUGAGUUGUGUACAGCUUUAGGCUCCAACAACUAAAUGUUAAUGCCUAAGUUCAGCCUCAAUGAGAGCUUAAAUGUAUGCAAGGUGGAAGCGAUUGGAUGACUAAGGGAAGGAUGCUAGCAAGUUGGUGUCUUGCAAAUAUUUGAGUGAUGUGCAAGUGUAUACAAUCGUUAACAAGUAAUAAAGUAGUAAGUAUGGAGUAUCGUCUGCACAUGGACUGUAUACGCAAAUAUUAUGAAAUAAGAUUUAGAAAAUUGGCCGACGAAAUAAUUAAGGGUGAAUUAAACUAACUAAUCUAGGUCUAACUGUCAUGAUUUUAUUCUACUGAAUAAACAACCAAGGCACAUAACAUCGUUAACAUUUUAACAAAUCUAAGCCAAAGAACAUAAUCAAUUUAACAACAAUAAAUUUAAGUCAUUAUGACUAAGUUGAAAAUAAAAAAAAUAUUUGACAAGCAGGUUCAUCAAUGCAAAACAAAAUAAAAGUAAAAAAAAAGGAAGAAUAAGAAGACAAAUCCAGUGUUUUUCUACUCGUGCUCCCCUCCUUCCUUCUUCCUACUUUGCUCUCUUGCACAAAUGUGUUUAGGAAUGCUGAAAUUUGCUGCUCAACAAGCCUUUGAAUUGUUUCUCUCAACUUUCUAUUAUUUUCUCUCAAAUGGGAAGUAGAAGAAAGGAAGAUAGGAGAAGAGAAGAUAAGCUAG